AAAAAAAAACUUGGAGACAAUAUUACUUCUAUUGUGGCAUUGCCUGAGAUGUUGGAUGGUCACAUGGUAGCAGCCCCUAAAUCAUUGUUGAAUACAAGAACUAUUUUCAGAAAUAAGGAGCCUGUGUUGCAGGGAUUGAUUAAGUGGAAGAAUAUGCCUGUUGAGGAUGCUACUUGGGAGGACUAUUCCUUCAUUACAGGCCAAUUUCCUAAGUUUCAACCUUCUUGGGGACAAGAAGUGAUGGAAAUCAACAAUAACAACAAGAUCCUAGGAAUGUUCAUGAGAGGAUUCAAGAUGCAAUGGCACAAGAAGCUCCAAUCACAAGGACUAG
This 331-nucleotide unclassified non-coding RNA is filed under the name Hevea brasiliensis (rubber tree). The record is from RNAcentral. Lineage: Eukaryota; Viridiplantae; Streptophyta; Magnoliopsida; Malpighiales; Euphorbiaceae.